GAUGAACGCUGGCGGCGUGCUUAACACAUGCAAGUCGAACGGAAAGACCAGUGCUGGCACUGGUACUCGAGUGGCGAACGGGGGAGUAAGACGUGGGUGAUCUGCCCUGCACUUCGGGAGAAGCCUGGGAAACUGGGUCUAAUACCGGAUAGGACAAUGGCUUGGAGUGCGUUGUGGAAAGUUUUUUCGGUGUGGGAUGAGCUCGCGGCCUAGCAGCUUGUUGGUGGGGUAAUGGCCUACCAAGGCGUAGACGGGGAGCCGGCCUGAGAGGGUGUACGGACACAUCAGGCCUGAGCUACGGGCCACACUCCUACGUGUUGCAGCAAGGGGGAAUAUUGCACAAUGGGCGCCCGCCUGAUGCAGCGACGCCGCGUGGGGGAUGACGGCCUUCGGGUUGUAAACUCCUUUGGCUAGGGACGAAGCGUAUUUGUGACGGUACCUGGAGAAGAAGCACCGGCUAACUACGUG
This 468-nucleotide ribosomal RNA is filed under the name uncultured bacterium. RNAcentral's name for it is "partial 16S ribosomal RNA". It matches the Rfam family "Bacterial small subunit ribosomal RNA", at positions 28 to 507 of the family's 1533-position model. The record is from RNAcentral.